GACGAACGCUGGCGGCGUGCUUAACACAUGCAAGUCGAACGGAAAGGCCCUGCUUUUGUGGGGUGCUCGAGUGGCGAACGGGUGAGUAACACGUGAGUAACCUGCCCUUAACUUUGGGAUAACUUCAGGAAACUGGGGCUAAUACCGGAUAGGAGCUCCUGCUGCACGGGGGGGGUUGGAAAGUUUCGGCGGUUGGGGAUGGACUCGCGGCUUAUCAGCUUGUUGGUGGGGUAGUGGCUUACCACGGCUUUGACGGGUAGCCGGCCUGGGAGGGUGACCGGCCACAUUGGGCCUGCGAUACGGCCCAGACUCCAACGGGAGGCAGCAGUGGGGAAUAUUGCACAAUGGGCGGAAGCCUGAUGCAGCAACGCCGCGUGCGGGAUGACGGCCUUCGGGUUGUAAACCGCUUUCGCCUGUGACGAAGCGUGAGUGACGGUAAUGGGUAAAGAAGCACCGGCUAACUACGUG
RNAcentral lists this ribosomal RNA (468 nucleotides) under uncultured bacterium. Its description in RNAcentral is "partial 16S ribosomal RNA". It matches the Rfam family "Bacterial small subunit ribosomal RNA", at positions 28 to 507 of the family's 1533-position model. The record is from RNAcentral.